CUUUUCAGUUUCAACAAAAUACAGACUCUUCCUUUUCUCCUACUCUCAGCCGUUUCUAGGUUUCAAGUUCGUUUAAAACCUUUCUCUCAUACACUGCUUCUCCUUGCUCCAACGAUUGCCCUCUAGAUCGAUUUCCAGCACCUCCUCCGUCUGGAACACCCUCAUCAUCGGCUUCAUCUGCGACUAGGAGCCCCUCGACGCCCUCCUUCUCUACGCCCACGUGAGAGCCGCCACUUCCCCCCACCCACUUCGAUUCCUACAGAGAACCCCCAACAUAUGCCUCGCGGAUUUGAUUCUUUUGUGGUCGAUGGGUUUCUUUGGAGCUCCUUCAAGCCACGUUUGCAAUUGAGAUAUUAUGACCCCUUGAUUUCUGACGUUUUCACUCGAUCAGAAGCAUCUUACUGUGAACUGAAGCAAUUAACAGUAGUCGCUCACUCUUCAGUUUUUCAGUAGAUUAGGGGAGACUGUUUAGUUUUCAAUUUUUCAUCAUGUGUAUCAUUUUACAGGUUGGGGACAGCGGUGCUUUUCCUCGAGUGAUCAGGCGGUGAACUUUGGAAGCGUUAUCUUCUUCGACAUUGGUAUGAACCCUUAGUUAUAUGCCUUCUUAAAUUUUGGUUCUUAUGUUUUUACCUUUUGAGGAUGCAUCAAAAUGAUUUCUUUCUCUUCUGUGGUCCUGAAUGUGAUAUUGAUGGCGCACCUGGCGACAGAGUUGCUGCAACGGCUGCAACGCAGCCCCGUCCCCUCUCUGCUGAUAUGAAAUCGGUGUCUGCAGAAUUAAUCGCUCAUGGAUUUGCCUUUGGCCAUAGAGGAAGAAAGGUCAACUUGAAGUGAAUGUUGAAGCUUUCAUCAAUGAAACAUCAUUCUUGGCUAGCAAUGGUCAGCAUGAAGUACUGAGUUUAAAGUGCAAGGUCUGCUAUUCCAUGUAUUUUUUGUUAUUUAUAUGAUUUUCUUCUCUUGAUUUUCCUUUGUUUGCAUUUGUAGUACAUAUGUAUUGGAUCACUUUCUUUUGUUCUUCACAAAUCAGGUGCUUCAUUCUUCUGUUUGUGCUUCUCUGGGAAUUUUCAGAAAUCUCCAACCAAAUAUCAAGUGAGUAAAAUUUUUUUAUUUGCAGUACAUGUUUUGUCCUUCUUCCCUCACUGUGUUUGUUGUUCUUCCCUCUGUGUGUAUUAUCCUUCACUACUAUUGUGUCUGAAAUUGCAGCCCUUGCUGCUUUACAGAUUACAAUUCUGCAAGUGUUUCUCCUCUUUUUGUACCUUUUUUUUUUGACUAAAUUGCAUGCAAAUGUUGGUGCUCUUAUUCUACUUCCAUAUAUCUAAAUUGAACCCUUUAACCUUAUUCUACAGCUUCGUUUUAACCUCUUUUCUUUCUUUUCUUCUAAGUUGAAAUCAUAUAACUAUUAAGUCAUGCUAUUUUUCAUUUAACUAUUUCAAACUUUUGAAAAAUGGGGAGAGCUUUGCUAUUGCUAACUACCACUGCACUUGCAAUUACUAUUCUGUAAGAAAGGUAAAAGAGUAGGAAGAAAGAAAUGAUUUAGCCAAAUAAGACCUGACUUGAAGGUUAUCAGCCCCAAGUACCAAUUACCAUGUAUAGAAAUAGAGAUGGCAGGAGUAGUGACUACUUUGGCUAAGUAGCAUAUGAAAGUGAAUGUAGGUUGAGGAAUAGUCAUUGAAAUGGACCCACAACUGAACAGCAAUCCACAGCUGAUAUGCUUAAAAACUUCAAAUUGAUGAGCAUGCAUGCAAUGUUGUUCUGAUUGUUUGUUACAUCAGACAUCAAUGAGCAGUUGGAACUUCCAUUGUUUUAGCUUCCAAAAUGGAAUUGUAAUCCUAAGAAUGGAAUUAAUCCAACAACUACCAAAAGAACCCAUCCUAGCCCCCUGAAAACUCUUGAGAACAAGGAGUUUCGUCUGAAAAUGCUGAGAAAAUCUAUAGGUCUGAAGGUGUUUUAACAGAAGCUGUGCAAAUUAUAAGAGAGCUUUAAGUAGAAGAGUCAAAGCAGAAUGAUUAAUGUUGGCUGUGAAAUAAUUAAAGGAUUGCUAAUUAGAAAAUAAAACCAAUGUGAUUUUAAUCUUGCUCUGUUGCUGUCCUUCGUUAGGAACCAUGCUAAACUUAAAGAAAGGGUGGUGUAAUCAAUAUGCUUAUUGAACCUGAUAACUUUCAAACUUCUAAGGCUUGACUCAGGACUUACCUUUGAUAGGUUUUCCUUUUAUUUUACUCUGUUGCUGUCCUUCAUUAGGAACCAUGCUAAACUUAAAGAAAGGGUGGUGUGAUCAAUAUGCUUAUUGAACCUGAUAACUUUCGAACUUCUAAGGCAUGACUUAGGGCUUACCUUUGAUAGGCUUUCCUUUUAUCUUUUCCCCAAUAUGUUUAACUUCUUUCUUCCCCAUGUUUUUUCCUCACCAUUGCAUUUAAAAGCUGACAGUGCACCUUUCUAAAUUCCUUCUACUAAAUUGUGAAAUUAUUUGUUCAUUCACACAGAAAAGAGAAUGCUCCCCCAUAAACUUGACAUCUCCCACUGAUUUCUUAAAUUAUUUGUUCAUUCUCGGAUUUUUUUUAUUUGUUCUCAAAUAUGUCUUCAUGAGUUGUUUAAGCCUUACUUCUACCAUGGGUUACAUUAUGCGGAAGACAAAGGGUUUGAUUCUAAAUCCAGCCAAAGUUCAGCAUCACUGAUAAGGCGAAUUGGCUGAGAUCUACCAAAAAAAAAGUGAAUGUGAAGAAAAGGCAAUAAGACAGAUUAUUAUUGGUCAAUGAAUGAAGAUGCUUGCAGCCUCCAAGCUUCCGCAUGUGCUUUCCUUCAGUGCCAUUAUUAUUGACAUGAAAUUAGGUUUAGGGGCAUGGAUAGGAAUAGACUGCCACCAUUGUUGACUGUUUUGGUGUGUUCGGUAUUCUGAGAUUGAUUUGUAGGAAGUAGGCUUUGGCCUCCACUUUAAAUGUUUGGAAAGAUUUGAGUUGUCAUUGUGGAUCUACAAUAAAUAUUAAAUAGUUAUAUUUUGUUUCUGA
Molecule: RNA transcript, 2999 nt
Organism: Lotus japonicus
Lineage: Eukaryota; Viridiplantae; Streptophyta; Magnoliopsida; Fabales; Fabaceae
Exons: 4
Source: RefSeq, a predicted model, not a curated record